This 339-nucleotide unclassified non-coding RNA is filed under the name soil metagenome. Its description in RNAcentral is "partial contains 5.8S ribosomal RNA, internal transcribed spacer 2, and large subunit ribosomal RNA". The stretch from base 1 to 120 matches the Rfam family "5.8S ribosomal RNA", at positions 35 to 154 of the family's 154-position model. The record is from RNAcentral.
GAUGAAGAACGUAGUGAAAUGCGAUACGUAGUGUGAAUUGCAGAAUUCAGUGAAUCAUCGAAUCUUUGAACGCACAUUGCACCUCUCGGUAUUCCGGGAGGUAUGCCUGUUCGAGCGUCAUUUGUACCCUCAAGCUCUGCUUGGUGUUGGGUGUUUGUUCCGCCUCUGUGUGUGAACUCGCCUCAAAACAAUUGGCAGCCGGCGUACUUGUUUCGGAGCGCAGCACAUUUUGCGAUCCAGAUCAACGUACAGCGGCAUCCAAGAAGCCUUAUUUAACGCUCUUGACCUCGGAUCAGGUAGGGAUACCCGCUGAGCUUAAGCAUAUCAAUAAGCGGAGGA